RNAcentral lists this ribosomal RNA (406 nucleotides) under uncultured bacterium. RNAcentral's name for it is "partial 16S ribosomal RNA". It matches the Rfam family "Bacterial small subunit ribosomal RNA", at positions 30 to 526 of the family's 1533-position model. The record is from RNAcentral.
AUUGAACGCUGGCGGCAGGCCUCACACAUGCAAGUCGAACGAGUGGCGGACGGGUGAGUAAUGUCUGGGAAACUGCCUGAUGGAGGGGGAUAACUACUGUAAACGGUAGCUAAUACCGCAUACCAUCAGAUGGACCCAGAUGGGAUUAGCUUGUUGGUGUGGUAACGGCUCACCAAGGCGACGAUCACUAGCUGGGCUGAGAGGAGGACCAGCCACACUGGGACUGAGACACGGCCCAGACUCCUACGGGAGGCAGCAGUGGGGAAUAUUGCACAAUGGGCGCAAGCCUGAUGCAGCAAUGCCGCGUGUAUGAAGAAGGCCUUCGGGUGGUAAAGUACUUUCAGCGGGGAGGCGUUACCCGCAGAAGAAGCACCGGCUAACUCCGUGCCAGCCGCCGCGGUAAUAC